AAUUCCAGUUUCCCGAUUCAAAAAUCCCAAAAGCUUCCAAUCUUCCAUUUGAUUCCCAUGUGCUUUUUCUUUCGAUUCGUGGUUUAUUAACGAGGUUCUCUACCCUUGUAGAAGCCUAAUGGUCCCAAACCAUGGCCACCGAAAUCGUCUUCCAAGUCGCCCUCCUCAACUCAGGAUGAGAUCGAGAUAUGGUUGAGAGUCACCAAGAACAAAAGUACCAGAUAGAUCUGAUGGUGAUGAUCUUUAUCCCUUUCUUCACCGAAAUCUUUAUCUAAAAUUUAACGUUAUUUCUUUGGUUUGGUUUUGCAAGCUCCUCCUGCUACGUUAAGAUCAUCCCCAGAAAGAGAUUUUGAGAUUGAAUAUGUGAUCGUAGAUGCUAAAUCCUCCUCGGCUCUCUCUGUUUUGGUUUUUUUAAGUCUCUAUCUUGUCUCUCUUGUUUUCCUCUAUUUUCAUUCACUCAAGGACACCAAAAAAUGUGCUUCCAUCUAUUUCUGGCUCGGGAGAACUGAAUAUCGCUACUCUUUCAGAGAUUGCAAAAAACAUGGUGGUAUCAUGAGAUUCAUUCAAGUUUCUUACUUAGGGGCAUCUCCAUCUUCUCCAUCUAGAUUGCUAAAAGCUAAAGCUGCAACAAAGGUAGCCGUUUUGACAGAAUUUCCAGAGGUCAAUUCUUUAGAUACUCUACUUCUCAAAACCUUUAGAGUUCGAAGCUCUUAUACACAAUCCUGAAGUUGUUCACAAAUUAUUGGUGGUGUAUAUGGAUCAAUGGUUCCCAACAACUAGGUAAUGCAUAUCGGUCAAAAUAACAAUAUCAAUGAAGUACUAUUAUUGUUGUACAUGAUGAUAUGUGAAUGUAUAAAUACCAAGAAAUAAUUCACCUUGAAACAACUGUAAACCUUUGUUGGAUAUUCUGAAAUUAACAAACAACUCAUUAUUUUUCAUUGCAUGUAAAUGUUACCGUACAUCCCGCAUAAGGAAAUUGGCCUUCAAAAUGAUAAGCUGUAUAAGGUGUCCUUGGCACCUUGUGCAAAUCUAUAGGUGGGAUUUCAUUCACGACAUUGGACCCUAACUUGAAUUGCUUGGGGACUUACGCAGCAAAAUGGAGAAGCAUUCUAAAUAUAAUUCUGGCUAGACUUUUGGAAUUGUGCAAGAGUCUAGAGUUGCAGAAAUGAAAACCUUGUUAACUUGAAAUAUUAUUGUGAAGAUGCUUACAUGGGACUUCUUUACUACACC
Molecule: long non-coding RNA, 1230 nt
Organism: Carya illinoinensis
Lineage: Eukaryota; Viridiplantae; Streptophyta; Magnoliopsida; Fagales; Juglandaceae
Exons: 3
Source: RefSeq, a predicted model, not a curated record